GACGAACGCUGGCGGCGUGCUUAACACAUGCAAGUCGAACGGAAAGGCCCUGCUUUUGUGGGGUGCUCGAGUGGCGAACGGGUGAGUAACACGUGAGUAACCUGCCCUUGACUUUGGGAUAACUUCAGGAAACUGGGGCUAAUACCGGAUAGGAGCUCCUGCUGCAUGGUGGGGGUUGGAAAGUUUCGGCGGUUGGGGAUGGACUCGCGGCUUAUCAGUUUGUUGGUGGGGUAGUGGCUUACCAAGGCUUUGACGGGUAGCCGGCCUGAGAGGGUGACCGGCCACAUGGGGACUGAGAUACGGCCCAGACUCCUACGGGAGGCAGCAGUGGGGAAUAUUGCACAAUGGGCGGAAGCCUGAUGCAGCAACGCCGCGUGCGGGAUGACGGCCUUCGGGUUGUAAACCGCUUUCGCCUGUGACGAAGCGUGAGUGGCGGUAAUGGGUAAAGAAGCACCGGCUAACUACGU
RNAcentral lists this ribosomal RNA (467 nucleotides) under uncultured bacterium. Its description in RNAcentral is "partial 16S ribosomal RNA". It matches the Rfam family "Bacterial small subunit ribosomal RNA", at positions 28 to 506 of the family's 1533-position model. The record is from RNAcentral.